UAUGAGAGGUGGCGGCCAUGGCCGCUGGCGGGCCUGGCCUGGCCUGGCAGCGAUGGGGAGGACAGGCCGAGGAGCCGAGGCGGCGGGCCUGGCUGGGGACAUCCAUCCAUCAGCAACCCACUGAUUCAGCUAUGCAAUCCAGACCAUCGUGUGUCACAAGCUAAGAGGAGGUGUACUGUGGAAAGCUGCUUACAGAGCAAAUACCACCUGUAAUCUUUAGCAAAUGAGCCAAAGGACAUGGAAUUGGAAAGCAACCUCUGUGAUGAGGCUUGGCCAAUAAAACCUCUUGAACCCAGACAUUCCCAACAU
Long non-coding RNA from Hemicordylus capensis (graceful crag lizard), 309 nucleotides. RefSeq lists it as uncharacterized. NCBI's taxonomy places the organism in Eukaryota, Metazoa, Chordata, Lepidosauria, Squamata, Cordylidae. The record is from RefSeq and is a predicted model, not a curated record. The transcript has 3 exons.